RNAcentral lists this long non-coding RNA (10511 nucleotides) under Setaria italica (foxtail millet). RNAcentral describes it as "long non-coding RNA (SITA_LNC006363)". Lineage: Eukaryota; Viridiplantae; Streptophyta; Magnoliopsida; Poales; Poaceae. The record is from RNAcentral.
CGAUGGCCCACACGUUCACCAGGAUCCGUGUCUUAGCCGGCACAUCGUAGCCGCAGAUGCUGACGUGGCGCAGGGUCUCCCUCGGCAGCAGGAGCGGCGCGGCCGGGUGCAGCCGCAGCGUCUCCUUCACCACCAUCUUCAGGUACCUGAGCUUGGGCAUGUCGUCGGGCUGCACCCUCUCCUUGUCCCCCACCAAGGCCCUGAUCUCCUCUUGCACCUUCCUCAGCAUCGCCGGCCUUCGCAUCAGCUCCGCCAUCGCCCAGACCAUGGUCACCGAGCUCGUGUCCACGCUAGCAGUGAAGACAUUCUGAAACAUGUAUUUGUAGUAAUAAAGCAGUUAAUAAGGAUUAUUAGAUGCUAGUAAAACCAAUUAAUUACUGGUAACUCCUCGAUGUAUGGCCUUUUUGUUUUGCGUACCGAGAGGAGUCCCUUGAUGUGGUCUCUGGUGAAGGCGAGGGAGCCCUGCUGGUGGCGGCGCUCCUUCAUGAGGGCGACGAAGGCGUCGAUGAGGUCGGGGCCGUGCUCCGGCGCGGCGCGGGACGGGUCGAGGUGCUGGUCGAUGAUGACGUCGAAGAAGGCGUCCAGGUCCCGGAACACCCUCUCCCGGCGUGGGGCGGCGCCGGUGAGGCGGUCGACGAGGCGGCCGGCGGCGUUGGGGUAGUAGUCCUCGGCGGAGAAGCCGGCCUUGGCGCUCAUGGCCUCGUCCAGCACGUCGUGGAAGUGCUUCCUGUGCGCGAACUGCUCCGUGCCGUAGAUGUUCCCGAACGCCACCGUGCCGAUGACGCCGUCCAUGAGCCCGAAGAUGUGGUCCUCCAGGAACACCGGCGCGCCUCCGGCGCUGCUCAGCCUGCCGACGAGCUUCUCCACCUCGGCCUCCCUGGCGUACCAGCUGGCCUGGACGCGGCGCGCGCUGAGGAACUCGACGACGAACAGCUUUGCGCAUCUCGCGCCAGUACUCGCUGUAGGGCGCGAACGCCACGUCCUUGUGGUCGUACGACAGCCGGCGAGCCCCCGCCGUGUCCGGCCGGCUGCAGCAGUCGACGUCGUGCGCCUUCAUCACCUCCAACGGCCGCCUCCGCCGACGACACCACCAGCGUCGGCACGCUGCCCAGCCGGAGCAGCAUCGCGGGGCCGUGGCGGCGCGCCAGGUCGCGGAGGCUCUGGUGCGGCAGCGCACCCAGCUGGUGCAGGUUGCCCAGGAUGGGCAGCCUCGGCGGGCCCGGCGGCAGGUGGAGGCGCCGGCCGCCUUUCCCGCUGCUCCAGCUUCUUCUUCUUCUCGUUGCAACGAGGAGGAGGAGCAGAGGGACGAGGACCAGGAGGACGGUGACCUGCCAUUGCUGAGGCAAGCUGCAGUAGUCUAGGACUGCCGGCGCCGCCAUUUGUUUGUGUUUGUGUUUGUGUUUGUUUUUCUUCUCUGAAUGGAUCGGUUCGCAGUCUUUCUGAAUUGGAGUACGAGGGUGGUUGUGGUUGCUUGUACAUGCCAUGGGGGUUACUUAUAAUAAGGAUGGCUCUGCACUCUGCUACGUGCUGAAUAAACUUUUUGUCGCUUUUCCUAUGUGUCUCUCUUUCUUCGUCACUGAGAAUGGAAUAUUGGUAAUGAAUUGGGGCUGCAUGCACUGGACGAUAGAUGCAAAGUAAAGGCCGGAACUCUUUUUCCUUCAUUUAUUAAAAGAAGAAAAGGUUAGGCUAUCUGGUAACUGGUAACUGCAGGCGUUAGCGUUACUUGGUGGGUUGAUGGUGCUAAUGUGACUCGCCUGCGUUUCAUUGUCGGCCGGCUUGUGUUGGCAUUACGUUGAGCUAGCUACUUAUGAGUUGGUGGUUUUGGAAGGAUGCAUCAUCAACUGAAACUGACCCUUCCAAAGAGUUGUUACAGGCUUAUUACAGCAAGUUGUUGCAGCUAGUACGUACGUGGACAGACAAGGACUUGAUGGUUACAAACUGCAAGAUCUCGUCUCAUGCAGCAACAGUAGCAUCAGAAUUCAGAAAGAAAUCGACCAAUAAGGCCAGCGCUUGCAUUUUAAAUAUGCUUCAUUAUCAGUAGGUUGAUUCUCUUUGCUGAUCACUACAUAAACUGACACAGCAAAUAAUGCACCGAGGACGAUAGAUGUUGUUUUCAGGAAAUGAAAUUUGUCUCUGGCUUGCAAGCAAAGAUGCUGUACGUGUUUGGAUUGAGUUCAGGCGCCAGCAGCGUUGUUGUUCACCAAAAUGCCCACGAAUGCUGCUGACCGCUUGGUGAUGACGUGGAGACAGGUGAGGUAAGCACCCACCACGUAUGGCAUGACGCACUGGCUAUCCUCCUUUUUUGGGAAAGAGUUUACCCUACAGCAUAUAUGUUGUGGGAUUGAUCCAUAAUGCCCAGCUCUCCAUCAUUUUUAAGCAUAUAUACUGUGGUUGCAGAACAUUCAAGAGCUACCGCAAGGGAAAAAAAAAACAAAAUAGCUAUAUAGGAACCAAAAAGUCUGUCUAGUCUUGUCUUGAUGAUAUAUAAAGCAAUAGCUGCUUCUUCGUCGUACGCUUCUUGACGGAAUCAGCAAAUAACCGAGCCUUCAUCAUCAUCAUCAUCAUCUUCAACAUCUCAUGUCAUGUCAUCUAACCGGACUUAGCUUGUUCAGGCGCACCAAGGAGUACGCAUGCAUAAAGAAAACAAUCCUGUGCAACAAAUCGAUCGGAUUACGGAUAAACUUAUUUGAAAUUGCCAUUUUGCUCCUGUGACUUUAAUCUCCAGACGGCGCAAGCAAGCACAGACGGGUCAAAUUAAACACCGCUACAAAUUCAUAAUUUUUCAACCCCUGAAGCAGGCAACUGAUUAGCAACAAAGUCUUCCAUAGACGUAUGGAUUUUUCAAACUAGCUACCCGGUUUUGACUUUCUUUGCUGACCAAGCUAGAGAAGCAAGGAAAGCUCCAUCGCUGGCUGGUUGCAACCUAAUAAGAUUCGAGCCUGGGCCCGCUCAGGUUACGUCCUUUCAUACAGAGAGUAACGUCUCGCGUUUGGUUAAAAAGAUGUGGGUUGGGUUCCACAUGAGAAUAUUCCUCUCAGAUCCGGGUCGAGAUGGUCCGUCCAAAUCAAGCGGACUAUCUCGACCCACUUCGACGCGUCCUGCUCCGUCUGGGCGCGGGCGAGGGAGACGAGCGCGGCUGCGCGAGAACGAGCGCCCAGGGGGAGCUCCACCGCCGUCAGGCAAGCUCGAUCCCCGCCGUCGCCGGCCGAGCGAGCUCGAUCCCCGGUGCGGGAGAGGGAGGGAGGGGGCGACCGACGGCGUGGAAGAGGGAGGAACGGCCGGCGACGCGAGGAGAUGGAGGGGGCGACGGCCGGCGUGGGAAGGGAGGGGAGGGGGAGGCUGCCGGCGUGGAAGAGGGCGGAGCGGCCAGCGUGGAAGAGGGAGGAGUGGCCGGCGCGCUAGGGGGAGCAGGCCGUCGGCAGGGAGCCAGGUGCCGAGGGAGCAGAGCCAGUGGCGGGGGAGCCAGGCACCGGGAGGACCCGGGGAAGAAGAUGGAGUAAAAAAGUGAAGAGGAUGACAUGUUGGACCCGCAGCUGAUAGGUGGGACCCGCUACUAACGGUGUUAAAAUGCCAUCCCUUCUAUCCCUCCCAAACCCUUCAACCAAACAAAAGAUCGGGUCCAACCCAUCCCUCUUAUCCAAAUACGAGAUGUGUUGACUCCAACCCAAAAAAGGGAUCGGCUCCAACCCAACCCGCGUCGUCCCAAAACCAAAUGCUAAGCUCCACCGUCCAUCCAAAUAUUGAAAAGAAAAAAAUCAAUCAAUCAAUUAACAAAAUAGACUAUAGAACAUUCUGUCACCUUGCCAUGAUGCCAUCCUUUCCUCUUUACCAUAGUUUUCCAUUUAUUCCAUACUUCCAUGUACCUUUUUUUUUAGAAAGCAUACUUCCAUGUACUAAAUAAAAUAAAAUAAAAUACUAGGAUCUGUCGCCUUCAGUGACACCUAACCCCCUCAUUGGCCUGCCUGCUGCGUCGCGUGCGUGAGUGAUCGAGAGAGAUCCGAGAGGGGCAGCGGCAGCAUCGCCGCCGGCGGCGCAGGGUCUCCUUCGCCACCACCUUCAGGUACGGAACCAAACUCGUGCCGAUGCCGCCAAGGGACGUGUCCUGAGAUGAACAAUAAUCGUCAGCAAUCAGCAUCAUCCAGACAUGGGACUGACGGACUGCGCAUAUCAGCUGCGAUCGAGCAGCUUUGUACCAUGAUGCCCAGCUAUCUCCGUUGCCGUACGAUCCGUGUAUCUACGGGUUGGAGUCCUGCAUCCUUCCGAUUCCAAACCCUAGUGGUAGAAGCGAGGAAUCGAGGCGGCGAUCAGAGAGGAGGGGAGAGGCGGUCGUUGGCAUGGCUUUGAGGUCGCUGGGCUCUCUGGUUCGCGGGAUCGUUGUCCAGGGGUCUCUUUGGGUCGCCGGCCGUUCCACGUCUUGGUAAAUUUCGUUUGUCUUGGGUGCAUGCAAGCCUUGUUCAGUUACUCUGUUGGCCUGAAUGAGUUUUCAGACUGGAACGCUGAAGAAAUUGCUAGGCUGUAGGUGGGUGUUACAACUAGAAGCGCUCAUGUGUACCUGCUCCAAAUGAUGAAGCCUUUUCUUUUUGCGCAGCGGAUCUGGCAUAAGGCGGUGGCCAGUGCCAAGAACAAGGCUAUCAGUAUCUUUGUUUCUAUGAUAGAUAGAAAUGUGCACUGACUUCCUUGAAGAGAAUGUGCACUGGUUGGAGACUACUCAGAUCGUGUCCUGGAUGCUGGCAGUUUGAGUUUCGUUUAUUUCCGUCGUGCUGCUUCACCACUGUGAGUUUCCAAUUGUCGAUUGAUCCCUGUAUUGAUCACUCGGGAAGCAGUUGUAUGCUGACAAGAAAAAAAAAGUAGAGUUUGAACACCUGUGUAGUAGUGCAAUAUUAUUUGAACCUAGUAGCUAGUACACAAUGCAAGAUUGAAUGUGCCGUGCUCAAAUCUGCAGGAACUUUGUUUUUGCUUCGUAUAUGCAGUAUGUGUAUGUGCUGAAAAUUUAACUCGGUUGGUCCUUUUGUUCUACUGUCUACUUUUCUUUCAUCAUCAUGUGGCUUCUUCAGAGCUGCAGUCUGCAUGCUAAUAAAUCCUUUUCUUGUAUUUACAGAAGCAGCAGCAGAAGCAGGAAUCCGAAGGUUGAGAAGGGUCGAGAAGCAGCAAAAGCAGGAACCCUAGCUGAUAAGAUUAAUCUCCCCGAACACCAACAACCGGAGCGACACCAGGAUGCAUUCCCAAUUUUAUUUUUCCAUGUCUUAAGUUCUUUGUUCGGGAUCAUGCAUUGCAUUGUCUCAUGUAGUAGAAUAGCUGAUCCAUCAAGAAUAUAUAUCCCCCAUCAAUUAAUUCAAAGCUCUCUAUCAAUGUUCCUCAGAACAUGUUUGUUUUCCAAGAAUAUUCCGGGCAUCCUCUUCUGAUUUCCACGAGCUCAAAUUUUUUCACUUGCUUAUCAUGACUAGUUUUCCAUUUGUUCCUUCAAAAAUACUAGAAAAGAAAGAGAGAAUUUUUUUUUUGAGAAUAAAUAAGUGCCUGGCCUACAGAAUUCAGGCCCGGCCCAAGUUACUCCGUGUGUCCGCAAUGCUUCUGCGGCCCAAUUCCUUGCAGAAUUCAGCGUGCGCCUCCUGCUGGCUGCUGCAAGCAGCGACUCCGCGUGCUCGAGCGAGCGAGCGAGAGAGAGAGAGAGAGAGAGAGAGAUGGGGGACGCCCACGCGAAGCGGGUGCUGCUCACCGCCACCGGCGACGCCAUCUCCUGGGGGAUCGCCUCUAACCUCGCCAAGCACGGCUGCAGGUAGACGCCCCGCCUCGUCGCCGCUUGCUCAGAUCUACGCUUCCCCCCCUCUUCGUUCGGUUCUGAUUCGGCUUGAAGGUUGGUUUUGGUGGGCGAUGAGGACUCGCUGGCCGCGACGGUGGAGGAGGUGCGGCGCUGCGGGGGUGGAGGCGUCGCGGUGGUGGGGCUGGACUUCGAGUCCUGCGACGAGGCGGCCGUAGACGCGGCAGUGGAUCGGGCGUGGCGCUGCUUCGCCGGACUGGACGCCUUCGUCAACUGCUACUCCUACGAGGGUACGAGCGAUACACAUACAAACAUACACGCCUGAUGCCGGAUCAAUAAUUGGCUGCCUUUACUUGUUUACCCUUGAGCUAAGUGCUCAUGCCACAGUAAAAAUCGUGAACAAGGGUGUGCCUGUGGGCAGAGGGCUGAAUUGCUAAUGCCUUCCCUUUUACCAAAAAAGAAACCAAAUGGUAAUGCCGUUUAGCUUGUAUUCAGCAGGAAACUGUGGAAAUGAGGAAAUACAGAGUGGGGUAUACUGAAUUUGCAUCUUAUAUCAUGUUUCAGACAUGUUUCUGAACUGUGCUGUCAUGAUCAAAAUUGAUCUGUUCGAUAGCAUGUGUCGAACUGAUAUGGUGCUGCUGUUUUAAUGUUUGUGAACCAGCAUUUGAGAUAUUGCAUCCUUAAACAAAGCAGAGGUUGCAGUAAUACCGCUAAAGUCUGAAUAUAGUUUUGGAAUACUGAAAUGAUCAGAAAUUCCAGUAUUGCCCACAUUUACACUCUGCUUCAGUCCAUGGUUGUUUUUAUAUAAAUGUUCAUUUUCUGCACGCUCAGGGGAGGUGCAAGAUUGCCUCAGCAUAAGUGAAGAUGAGUACAAGAAGACCAUGAAAGUAAAUGUGACUACACCUUGGUUUUUAAUGAAGGCGAUUGCAAAGCGGUUCCGGGAUACAAAAUCUGGUGGAUCUGUUGUGUUCUUGACUCAGAUUAUUGGUGCUGAGAGAGGAUUAUAUCCAGGUGCUGCAGCUUAUGGUACAAGCUUAGGAGCUGUUCACCAGUUGGUCCGAGUAAGCAUCCUAGUCUACUACUUUGACUUUCUCUUUGAUUCUGUUGAUACCUCCUGUCCAAAUAAAUGCAAAAACUGGUCAUGUUCCAAUGCUAAAUUGCACUUUGAAAUGAACAGCAAAGUUUAGACUUCCUAAAAAAAAAGCAAAGUUUAGCUCCAUAGUUCAUAUCAUUCUCAUACGUGUAUGAGUUUCUGCACCUAUAAAUUACACAUUUAAAACAGGAGGUAAUGGGUAUGCCAGAUGCCAAAUUUCACAGUUACUAAUUUUUCAGUAUUUCUAGACCACACACAUAGGUGCACACAGUGGCGAUUGUUUCGCGGACACGCAGGAAUCUGCUUAUCUUUGUAUUGAGUUGGAGAGCAACCUACCAAUCUAAGUACAUGAUACAACGAACCAAUUGCUGGAGCACACUAACAUGGUAAACUCCUUGGGUUGGCAAAAGAAAUUUGGAUGCACCACUACCUGAGUUGUUCAACCUUAAUAUCCAGACAAUAUCAGCCUAAUAAUACCAUAACCCUGAAAUAACCCUAGUUUCUCAGACGACCUAUCAAUUCAGGGAACAUAUGCUGCGUUCCGCUACCCACAUACCUGUUUGACCUUCUCUACAAUCUGCAUCCUUUGAGUUUCUGAAUUUCUGAAAACACUAGUGUUAUGCUCAGUUCAUAUAUGCCAAUGGUGAAAAAGGAUGAUAGAAUUGCAGCCCACUGCCCCUCUGAUUGAUGAACCCAUAAUAUUAUUUUCAUAGACAGCCAUCAAUUAUAGGGGAUGACUAUCCCUCCCAGUCCCAGUGUAAACCUCUGUAACUGUAAUGUUCAGUGGUGACAGUCUAUUGAUUCUGUCUCUUGAUUGCUACCAUUAACUUUUAGCAUUCUAAAUCUUCCCCUUGUUUCAGCUGUCUGCCAUGGAGCUCGGCAAGCACAAGAUAAGGGUGAAUGCAGCUUGUCGCGGUCUGCAUCUGCAGGACAAGUUCCCGGUCUCUGUGGGUAAGGAGAAGGCUGAGAAGGCAACCGCACAGGUAAUGCCCCUGCGGAGAUGGUUGGAUCCGGAUAAGGACCUGGCAUCCACGGUGCUGUACCUGGUCGGGGAUGAAUCCUGCUACAUGACGGGCACAACAAUAUACGUCGAUGGCGCACAGUCCAUCGUGCGGCCGCGUAUGCGCUCCUACAUGUAGCCAGGCGAGGACAUAAUGGUAGAUCAGGAACGUGCAGAACGGCAGGAUUUCUUCUUCAUCAUGAGGAGCCGAUUGCUCAUCUGGAUGUAUAUACCAUUUGUGUAGUUAUGAUUUGCAUAGGGUGGAUUGAUUGGGUAACCAGUUAUGAAGUAAUAAAAUAUGGUAUCAUUGUUGUUGAUUGGGUACAAAUUAUUUCAGUUGCAUUCCACGAUUUGGAAUUGCACUGGAGGGUGGAUUUACUCUGGAUAUUUUCCCUUUGUCUUGUGGAUGGAGCAGAAGCCAUUGUGGUCAUGCGACUCUGGUAUGAUAUGAGCCUGGCCGUUACGUUACUGCUCCUUCCGUCCUAAAUUCCUAUUCGUUUUGAUUUUUCUAGAUACAUAGUUUUUACAACGUAUUUAGAUAUAUCUAGAUAUAAUAUAUAUUUAAAUGUAUAGAAAAAUAAUAUAUCUAGAUGACUUUUCUAGCUACAUAGUUUUUACUAUGUAUCUAGAUAUAAUAUAUAUAGGUGCAUAGAAAAACAAUAGUAAUUUAGGAGGCAGGGAAUACGUCGGAAGUCAGUACAGGUACAGAGGUACAGUGGGUCGCAGGACUCUUGUGCGCUUGCGUGUUUGGUCUUCCAUUACAACGUAUACUGAAUGCCGCCGAACAACGUCUAAUCACCACGGAGAAUAGAAACAAAUAGGAUUGUGCGGCAGAAUAGAAACAAAUAGGAUUGCAUCAUCUUCUUCAGCUCUGGCUGGGACUACUGCUGACGAAACGAGGGUGUUUGAUACGGGGUGCUAAACUUCAGCAGGGUCACAUCGGAUGUUCGGAUGCUAAUUAGAAGGAUUAAACAUGAGCUAAUUACAAAACUAAUUGCACAGAUGGAGUCUAAUUCGCGUCAGGACUCUAGUAGUGCUCAUUACACCAUCUAUAACUAAUGGACAGAGGCUCCUUAGGCGAGCAGUAGGGACUGCCUGAGCUGAAGAAGAUGGUCUCGCGGAUUCUGGUCUCCGGCGCAGAAGCGUUGUCGUUGAGUCUGUNNNNNNNNNNNNNNNNNNNNNNNNNNNNNNNNNNNNNNNNNNNNNNNNNNNNNNNNNNNNNNNNNNNNNNNNNNNNNNNNNNNNNNNNNNNNNNNNNNNNAGGCUUAAUAGAUUCGUCUCGCGAAUAAGACUCCAUCUGUACAAUUAGUUUUGUAAUUAGACUAUGUUUAAUACUCUAAUUAGUAUCCAAACAUCCGAUAUGACAGGUGCUAAAGUUUAGCAUGGGGUAUCCAAACACCCCUUACUAUUCCCUCUAUCCCAAAUAGUUUAUAUAUCGACCGCCUAGACGUGCGUAGUAUUUUAAUUAGGAUGUUUGGAUACUAGGUGCUAAACUUUAGCAGUGUCACAUCGGAUGUUCGAAUGCUAAUUAGGAGGACUAAACAUGAGCUAAUUAUAAAACUAAUUGCAGAACCCUGUGCUAAUUCGCGAGAUGAAUCUAUUAAGCCUAAUUAAUCCAUCAUUAGCAAAUGGUUACUGUAGCACCACAUUGUCAAAUCAUGGACUAAUUAGGCUUAAUAGAUUCGUCUCGCGAAUUAGACUCCAUCUGUGCAAUUAGUUUUGUAAUUAGCUUAUGUUUAAUACUUCUAAUUAGCAUCUAAACAUCCGAUAUGAUAGGUGUUAACUUUAGCAUGAGUAUCCAAACGGGACUUAAAACUAGAUGACGCAAAGUUCAAAUAUUGCUGGUACAAAACCAUGACGCAGCACCGUGGAUAUUUGCAGGACGCAGGGUAUCGCCGCAGAGCAUGCAUGCGGUGGUUCACCAUUUUUUGCUUGUUUUUUGGGUUUUCAAGUCUACAAGCUACUGCAACGACGAUGCAAGGUGAGGCACCUACGUCGCGCACGCUUAUCUUUUAUUCAAUCGUCGACGAUAUGAUGACGACUACUACUACACUACGCCGUCGCCGUGCGGUGGUGGUACCUUGUGGGCACCAGCACCAGCGGCAUCUUCUGGUGGAACGUCAGCCCGCCGGCCUCCUCCAUGCUCACGUCCUCCGCCGCCAUCCCCUCCGGCAGCGCCCAGUCGAAGCAGUAGAGCAGGUUAGCCAGCGUGAAAGUCACGUUGGUCUCGCCCAUGGCGAGGCCCGGGCAGAUCCGCCGCCCCGCCCCGAACGGCACCAGCUCGAAGUGCGCGCCGUUGUAGUCCACGUCGCUCCCCUCGAACCUGUCCGGGUGGAACUCCUCGGCGUCCGCCCAGCUCGCCGGGUCCCUGCCGAUCGCCCACGCGUUCACGAACACGCGCGUCCUCGCCGGCACGUCGUACCCGCCGAUUCUGACGUCCCGCAUCGUCUCCCGCGGCAGCAGCAGCGUCGCCGGCGGGUGCAGCCGCAGGGUCUCCUUCACCACCAUCUUCAGGUACGGGAGCUUGGGCACGUCGUCGGGGUCCACGCGCGCCUUGCCGCCCACGACGGCCCUCACCUCGUCCUGCGCCUUCCUCAGCACCCGCGGCUUCCGGAUCAGCUCCGACAUCGCCCACAGCAUCGUCACCGAGCUCGUGUCGAUGC